UCGUGAAACCGCUUAGAGGUAAACGGGUGGAUCCGCAAAGUCGGCCCGGGGAAUUCAACUUGCCGUUUGGGCUGCGGACGUCUUGUCAGGGAUCCGUAAAGACCCGCUGGGCGUCCGGCAGUCGUCGGCGAGUGCACUUUCCUUGGGUAGAGCGCCACGACCGGUUUCGGAGCGGUCAUAAGCCGGCUGGGAAGGUGACUUCCUCCUUGGAGGAAGUGUUAUAGCCCGGCCAGGUCGGCUCGUUCCGAGACCGAGGAUUUGCCGCGCCUCACUGCCCCUGGCUCUCUUGGUGCGUUCGACUGGGGAAGCACUGCUUGCAGUUCUCUCCGACUGCGUGCCUUGAUUGGUCGGGAAGCACGAGGCGCUUCGGGUCAGUGGCGAAUCGGUCGGUCCUCCACCCGACCCGUCUUGAAACACGGACCAAGGAGUCUAACAUGUGCGCAAGUCAUGGGGUUCUGUACGAAACCUAAAGGCGCAAUGAAAGUGAAGGUCAACCUCCGGUCGGCCUAGGUAGGAUCCCCGCGAGGGGCGCACUACCGGCCCGUCUCGACCACAUCGUUGGUGGGGCGGAGCAAGAGCGUACACGUUGGGACCCGAAAGAUGGUGAACUAUGCCUGAGUAGGACGAAGCCAGAGGAAACUCUGGUGGAGGUCCGUAGCGAUUCUGACGUGCAAAUCGAUCGUCAAACUUGGGUAUAGGGGCGAAAGACUAAUCGAACCAUCUAGUAGCUGGUUCCCUCCGAAGUU
Molecule: ribosomal RNA, 746 nt
Filed under: Mytilaster solisianus
Lineage: Eukaryota; Metazoa; Mollusca; Bivalvia; Mytilida; Mytilidae
Description: eukaryotic LSU rRNA
Rfam family: Eukaryotic large subunit ribosomal RNA
Source: RNAcentral